RNAcentral lists this ribosomal RNA (262 nucleotides) under uncultured bacterium. RNAcentral describes it as "partial 16S ribosomal RNA". It matches the Rfam family "Bacterial small subunit ribosomal RNA", at positions 524 to 783 of the family's 1533-position model. The record is from RNAcentral.
UACGUAGGUGGCAAGCGUUUGUCCGGAAUUAUUGGGCGUAAAGCGCGCGCAGGUGGUUUCUUAAGUCUGAUGUGAAAGCCCACGGCUCAACCGUGGAGGGUCAUUGGAAACUGGGGAACUUGAGUGCAGAAGAGGAAAGUGGAAUUCCAAGUGUAGCGGUGAAAUGCGUAGAGAUUUGGAGGAACACCAGUGGCGAAGGCGAGUUCCUGGACAGUUGCUGACACUGAGGCACGAAGGCUAGGGGAGCAAACGGGAGUUAGAA